Camelina sativa (false flax) is the source of this 1139-nucleotide long non-coding RNA. RefSeq lists it as uncharacterized. Lineage: Eukaryota; Viridiplantae; Streptophyta; Magnoliopsida; Brassicales; Brassicaceae. The record is from RefSeq and is a predicted model, not a curated record.
UGCUUCAACCUUGAGACAAGGAGCUUUGAGAUGACUUUAUAAAGGGUAUUCAAGCAGGAUAUGGGUCUGAAGUCCGAGAUAAGAGAAGCACCAGGGGACUUGGGAAUCAGGGCUAGGAUAGUUGCAUUUACAGCCGCCGGGAGGAAAGCUGAAUGAAAGAACUGCAUAAUGCUACCAGUAACAUCCGAGCCAAGAAUUUCCCAAGCAGUCUUGUAGAAAUUUGAGCUCAGGGGAACAACGGUAUUGGAUAAUACUUUGAAGCCAGUUAAGAGAGACAGCGAUUGGUGGCAGAGAGUGGGGACCAAGUAUGGAUUGGAAGUGUGCUACUGCUAUUCGACUCAUUUCUAGAGGGUCAUCCACCAUAGUGCCUGAAGUCGAGGAGAAGGAUCUUAUGGCAUUGAAGGCGUUUCUGGUUAAAGUCACUCGAUGAAAGUAAGAUGUGUUCAAGUCCCCUUCUUUUAACCAGUUGAUACGAGAUCUUUGUUUGAAAUAGGCUUCUUCAAUCUUUCUGAGGAAUUCCCAUCGAGUGUGAAGAGCACGUUCUUGUUGGAAUAGGGCAGAAGAAGGUGUGGCCAUCGCUUGUACCUGCACAUUGUUUAAUAAAAGCACUCAAAACAGCUAAACUUGUUUCCAAGGGAUGUAAAGUUCCAGCCAAGAUCCAUGCAGUCUCAAUCGUUUGGAGGAAUUGGGGAUGAGAGGUUAGGAAGUUAAAGAAUUUGAAAGGUUUGGUGCCAGCACACGGGAGGGAGGUUUCCAGGUUGAGAAGACAAGACGAAUGAUCAGAAACUUCAGAAGCCAGGAAGGAAGCCACACUAUUGGGGUGAAGAAGGGACCUUGAUGACGGAGAUCAAACAGCUCCAUUUGCAGGAGGCAAUCGCGAAGUUCUAUCAUACGCGAGGACCAGUGGUCAACAUUCGGGUUUGAGUGCUCAGCUGGAUGGAUGAUUUGGUUGAAAUCCCUUCCAAGAAGUCAAGGUUGUGAAUCCACCUGGAGUCUUUGUUGAAGGUUGAUCAACUCACACCAGAGGAGAUUUCCACACGAUGAUUACUCUACCAUCCGGAUCAGAAGCAUGGUUAGAGACAAAUUGCCAACCAGGACAGGUAAGGUUCAUAACUCUGUUCAAAUUUGGUUCCUUGAUA